This 468-nucleotide ribosomal RNA is filed under the name uncultured bacterium. Its description in RNAcentral is "partial 16S ribosomal RNA". It matches the Rfam family "Bacterial small subunit ribosomal RNA", at positions 28 to 507 of the family's 1533-position model. The record is from RNAcentral.
GAUGAACGCUGGCGGCGUGCUUAACACAUGCAAGUCGAACGGAAAGGCGAUGCUUUUGUGGGGUGCUCGAGUGGCGAGCGGGUGAGUAACACGUGAGUAACCUGUCCUUGAAUUUGGGAUAACUUCAGGAAACUGGGGCUCAUACAGGAUAGGAGCUCCUGCUGCAUGGUGGGGGAUGGAAAGAUUCGGCGGUUGGGGCUGGACUCGCGGCUUAUCAGCUUGUUGGUGGAGUAGUGGCUGACCAAGGUUUUGAAGGGUAGCCGGCCUUGGAGGUUGAACGGCGACCAUAGGACUGAGAGACGGACCAGACGGCUACGGGAGGCAGCAGGGGAGAGUAUGACACAACGAGCGCGAGCGUGAGGCGGCGGCGUCGCGUGCGUAAAGACCUCUUUCUAGUUGUGAACCGCUUUCGCCUGUGACGAGGCGUUAGUGACGGUAAUGGAUAAAGAAGCACCGGCUAACUACGUG